AUGUCCGCUCGAACAGCAGCAGGAACCUCCACCUCUUGCAGCUUGGUCGCCAAGGUGCCGAUAGAAGCGAUGUUACCCGCCACUGUCUUCUCAAGCGUCUCCCAAUGGCGGUCUUGCGCGUCGAGGCGGUCACAGAUCUGCUUCAGCAGCCGAGCUUGGGCGGCCAUGACCAGAGCCAUCGAGCUUGACACGCUGCUCCCUGUCGGUGCCCUCUCGGCCUUUGUUGAUGUGGUUAGCUUUGUGGAUGGCGUCGGUGUCGUGUUUGUGCGGACGGGCGAUGGGCUAUUCACCAUUGAUCUGAUGUCUCGCCGGGUCACAAAGGUAUUCAAGGACACUUUCUUCUCCGGCAUUUUCCCCUACAUGAGCUUCCACACUCCAGCACUGGAAGUUGCCUCAACUGGUGAGGGGCCAAGUUCAGGUACUUAAGGUGCUUAUGUGCAGGUUUCUCAGUCAAGGGGAAACUUAGUUGCCUCUCGGUGGGUUCUUGCUUUUAAUUCAAGGGCUCUAAGUUUUUUCUAAAGGAUUCUAUCUUGUAAAUUUGUUAGUUUGAUCACUGCCUUGUGUAGUUGUGUGUGAACUGGUAAAUGUGUGUGUGUUCUCCUGAACUGUAGCUUGCAAAGAAAUCCUAGAAUGAAUGUGAUUUCCCUUCUGUGUACAUAUGUAUGCUCAAGAAAACAAGCAUUUGAAGUGAA
This 692-nucleotide long non-coding RNA is filed under the name Zea mays. Its description in RNAcentral is "drought-responsive long non-coding RNA". The record is from RNAcentral. Lineage: Eukaryota; Viridiplantae; Streptophyta; Magnoliopsida; Poales; Poaceae.